UAUUUUCUUUCAUCGUGUUUUACGACAAACGGUGUAAGAAAAAUUGACUUUGACCAUUGGUCAAAAUUGAACUCCAUAUCUGUUUAUCUCGAAGUAAUAGCAAAGAAGAAGACAAAAGUGGAUUUUGAUCGAUUGAUAGGGCCCUUCAACGGUUGAACCUUGUACUUCCAUCACCGACGAAAGACAUCUCUCCAAAAUCAAUCGGGCAUUUAUGGAUAAGAAGAAUCCAGGCAAGGAGGUUUGUGAUGAGGACUUGACUCGGGAAUCGCUCAUUGCAAUAUCUUACUUAGCACCAGAGAAGGAACCUGCUUCUGGCUACAAACCUGAGGAUUUGACUAGUGACCCCAUUGCCAAGACUAAAAAUGCUGAGGGAGAUGACAUUUAUAGAUCUAAGCUGAUUUCAAUAUCUUACCAACAGUCACCCGACCCCAAAGAUCAACCGGUGUCACCUGGAGAAAUCAACGGCUAGCUUAACUAGUUACUUCAUGUUUAGUCUGUGUGUAAAAACACUUUAUGCAAUAUGUUCUGAUUUGAAGAUAAAGAAGUGGUGGAUGCAACAACUGUGUUUUCAUGGUGUCAAUUUCAUCCAAUCAUCUCAUGUAAUCAAUAUUACAGAAAACCCAACAUUCACUUGAAAUCAUCAAUGUGAAAAGCCUUAGCUUUUUUUUUUU
Molecule: long non-coding RNA, 671 nt
Organism: Ipomoea triloba (trilobed morning glory)
Lineage: Eukaryota; Viridiplantae; Streptophyta; Magnoliopsida; Solanales; Convolvulaceae
Exons: 2
Source: RefSeq, a predicted model, not a curated record